Molecule: ribosomal RNA, 406 nt
Filed under: uncultured bacterium
Lineage: Bacteria
Description: partial 16S ribosomal RNA
Rfam family: Bacterial small subunit ribosomal RNA
Source: RNAcentral
AUUGAACGCUGGCGGCAGGCCUAACACAUGCAAGUCGAACGAGUGGCGGACGGGUGAGUAAUGUCUGGGGAACUGCCCGAUAGAGGGGGAUAACUACUGGAAACGGUAGCUAAUACCGCAUACUAUCGGAUGUGCCCAUAUGGGAUUAGCUAGUAGGUGGGGUAACGGCUCACCUAGGCGACGAUCCCUAGCUGGUCUGAGAGGAUGAUCAGCCACACUGGGACUGAGACACGGUCCGGACUCCUACGGGAGGCAGCAGUGGGGAAUAUUGCACAAUGGGCGCAAGCCUGAUGCAGCCAUGCCGCGUGUAUGAAGAAGGGCCUAGGGUUGUAAAGUACUUUCAGUGAGGAGGCGUUACGGACAGAAGAAGCACCGGCUAACUCCGUGCCAGCAGCCGCGGUAAUUC